This 938-nucleotide ribosomal RNA is filed under the name Enterobacter sp. Its description in RNAcentral is "bacterial SSU rRNA". It matches the Rfam family "Bacterial small subunit ribosomal RNA", at positions 59 to 988 of the family's 1533-position model. The record is from RNAcentral. Lineage: Bacteria; Pseudomonadati; Pseudomonadota; Gammaproteobacteria; Enterobacterales; Enterobacteriaceae.
AAGGCCUUUUUGCUUCUUCCGGGUGACGAGUGGCGGACGGGUGAGUAAUGUCUGGGAAACUGCCUGAUGGAGGGGGAUAACUACUGGAAACGGUAGCUAAUACCGCAUAACGUCGCAAGACCAAAGAGGGGGACCUUCGGGCCUCUUGCCAUCAGAUGUGCCCAGAUGGGAUUAGCUAGUAGGUGGGGUAACGGCUCACCUAGGCGACGAUCCCUAGCUGGUCUGAGAGGAUGACCAGCCACACUGGAACUGAGACACGGUCCAGACUCCUACGGGAGGCAGCAGUGGGGAAUAUUGCACAAUGGGCGCAAGCCUGAUGCAGCCAUGCCGCGUGUAUGAAGAAGGCCUUCGGGUUGUAAAGUACUUUCAGCGGGGAGGAAGGUGUUGUGGUUAAUAACCGCAGCAAUUGACGUUACCCGCAGAAGAAGCACCGGCUAACUCCGUGCCAGCAGCCGCGGUAAUACGGAGGGUGCAAGCGUUAAUCGGAAUUACUGGGCGUAAAGCGCACGCAGGCGGUCUGUCAAGUCGGAUGUGAAAUCCCCGGGCUCAACCUGGGAACUGCAUUCGAAACUGGCAGGCUAGAGUCUUGUAGAGGGGGGUAGAAUUCCAGGUGUAGCGGUGAAAUGCGUAGAGAUCUGGAGGAAUACCGGUGGCGAAGGCGGCCCCCUGGACAAAGACUGACGCUCAGGUGCGAAAGCGUGGGGGAGCAAACAGGAUUAGAUACCCUGGUAGUCCACGCCCGUAAACGAUGUCGACUUGGAGGUUGUGCCCUUGAGGCGUGGCUUCCGGGAGCUAACGCGUUAAGUCGACCGCCUGGGGGAGUACGGCCGCAAGGGUUUAAAACUCCAAAUGAAAUUUGGACAGGGCCCGGCAACAAGCGGUGGGAGCAAUGUUGCUUAUCCGAUGCCAACGGCGAAGAAUCCAUUACCCUAUACCUU